Molecule: ribosomal RNA, 253 nt
Filed under: uncultured bacterium
Lineage: Bacteria
Description: partial 16S ribosomal RNA
Rfam family: Bacterial small subunit ribosomal RNA
Source: RNAcentral
UACGUAGGGUGCAAGCGUUGUCCGGAAUUAUUGGGCGUAAAGAGCUCGUAGGCGGUUUGUCGCGUCUGCUGUGAAAAUCCAGGGCUUAACCCUGGACCUGCAGUGGGUACGGGCAGACUGGAGUGCGGUAGGGGAGAUCGGAAUUCCUGGUGUAGCGGUGAAAUGCGCAGAUAUCGGGAGGAACACCAGUGGCGAAGGCGACUUCCUGGCCUGUUCUUGACGCUGAGGCGCGAAAGCUAGGGGAGCAAACGGG